GACGAACGCUGGCGGCGUGCUUAACACAUGCAAGUCGAGCGGAGCGGCGAACGGGUGAGUAACGCGUGAGUAACUGCCCCCCUCUCUGGGAUAACAGUUGGAAACGGCAGCUAAUACCGGAUAGUGGGGGAUGACUCGGGUCCAAUCAGCCUGUUGGUGGGGUAGGGGCCUGCUAAGGCGACGACGGGUAGCCGGCCUGAGAGGGGGACCGGCCCCCUGGGGCUGAGGUACGGCCCAAACUCCUACGGUCGGCAGCGGUGGAAAAUAUUGCCCAAGGAGGGAAACCCUGAUGCAGACACGCCGCGUGCGGGAUGACGGCCUUCGGGUUGUAAACCGCUUUCAGCCAUGCCGCGGUAGUGGCAGAAGAAGCACCGGCUAACUACGUGCCAGCCGCCGCGGUAAUUC
This 405-nucleotide ribosomal RNA is filed under the name uncultured bacterium. RNAcentral describes it as "partial 16S ribosomal RNA". It matches the Rfam family "Bacterial small subunit ribosomal RNA", at positions 28 to 526 of the family's 1533-position model. The record is from RNAcentral.